This 131-nucleotide non-coding RNA is filed under the name chicken gut metagenome. RNAcentral describes it as "glmS glucosamine-6-phosphate activated ribozyme". It matches the Rfam family "glmS glucosamine-6-phosphate activated ribozyme aptamer", at positions 10 to 151 of the family's 167-position model. Rfam says of the family: This entry contains a glucosamine-6-phosphate activated ribozyme that is found in the mRNA for GlmS. GlmS is an enzyme that uses fructose-6-phosphate and glutamine to generate glucosamine-6-phosphate. The ribozyme catalyses self cleavage of the glmS mRNA that is thought to regulate GlmS activity. The record is from RNAcentral.
AGAAAGCGCCGGGGCCGCGUUGGAUGCGGCUGACGAGGUGAGAGGUGAUCGAAGCAUUCGGCGGAUGCCUCUCCGCCCCCCUUCCGGGCGCAGCAGGGACAAAACCGCGGGGCAACCCGCGGGACAAAUCC